AUACUGUCCGAUUAGGCACUCAUUCAGCACUACCUUGGGUAUAUUUGCAUAUGGAUACUGAGAUGGAGAUCCAAUAUGAAGAACACGGCACAAACAUACCGCGGGACAAGGAACACGAUCUGGUAA
Molecule: non-coding RNA, 126 nt
Organism: Vigna umbellata (rice bean)
Lineage: Eukaryota; Viridiplantae; Streptophyta; Magnoliopsida; Fabales; Fabaceae
Source: RefSeq, a predicted model, not a curated record